This 443-nucleotide ribosomal RNA is filed under the name uncultured bacterium. RNAcentral describes it as "partial 16S ribosomal RNA". It matches the Rfam family "Bacterial small subunit ribosomal RNA", at positions 338 to 795 of the family's 1533-position model. The record is from RNAcentral.
CCUACGGGAGGCAGCAGUGGGGAAUAUUGGGCACUGGAGGCAACUCUGACCCAGCAACGCCGCGUGAAUGAUGAAGGUCUUCGGAUUGUAAAGUUCUGUGAUGGGGGAUGAACACAAUGACGGUACCCCAAUAGCAAGCCACGGCUAACUACGUGCCAGCAGCCGCGGUAAUACGUAGGUGGCAAGCGUUAUCCGGAAUGACUGGGCGUAAAGGGUGCGUAGGUGGUUUAGUAAGUUGGCGGUGUAAUUCCGGGGCUCAACCUCGGCGCUACCGCCAAAACUAUUAGACUAGAGUGCAGGAGGGGUAAGUGGAAUACCUAGUGGAGCGGUGGAAUGCGUAGAUAUUACGCAGAACUCCGAUUGCGAAGGCAGCAUACCGGCGCUCAACUGACGCUCAUGCACGAAAGUGUGGGUAUCGAACAGGAUUAGAUACCCCUGUAGUC